AACAUAAGUUAUGUUGCCAACACC
RNAcentral lists this non-coding RNA (24 nucleotides) under Arabidopsis thaliana (thale cress). Lineage: Eukaryota; Viridiplantae; Streptophyta; Magnoliopsida; Brassicales; Brassicaceae. The record is from RNAcentral.